UGUACUCCGAAUGCUCUUAAAUUAUAGUUGAUCAUGGCUCAGAGUGAACGCUGGCGGUAGGCCUAACACAUGCAAGUCGAACGGCAGCACAGAGGAGCUUGCUCCUUGUGGUGGCGAGUGGCGGACGGGUGAGUGAAUACAUCGGAAUCUACUCUUGGUCGUGGGGGAUAACUGUAGGGAAACGUUACGCUAAUACCGCAGUACGACCUACUGGGUGAAAGCAGUGGGAUCUUCGGACCUUGCGCGAUUGAAUGAGCCGAUGUCGGGAUUAGCUAGGUUUGGCGGGGUAAAGGGCCCACCNAAGGACGACGU
RNAcentral lists this ribosomal RNA (312 nucleotides) under uncultured bacterium. Its description in RNAcentral is "partial 16S ribosomal RNA". It matches the Rfam family "Bacterial small subunit ribosomal RNA", at positions 1 to 279 of the family's 1533-position model. The record is from RNAcentral.